Molecule: ribosomal RNA, 100 nt
Filed under: Cronobacter condimenti 1330
Lineage: Bacteria; Pseudomonadati; Pseudomonadota; Gammaproteobacteria; Enterobacterales; Enterobacteriaceae
Source: RNAcentral
UGCCUGGCGGCUGUAGCGCGGUGGUCCCACCUGACCCCAUGCCGAACUCAGAAGUGAAACGCCGUAGCGCCGAUGGUAGUGUGGGGUCUCCCCAUGCGAG